This 309-nucleotide ribosomal RNA is filed under the name uncultured bacterium. RNAcentral describes it as "partial 16S ribosomal RNA". It matches the Rfam family "Bacterial small subunit ribosomal RNA", at positions 504 to 809 of the family's 1533-position model. The record is from RNAcentral.
AGAGACAGCAGCCGCCACGGUAAUACGUAGGUGGCGAGCGUUGUCCGGAAUCAUUGGGCGUAAAGGGAGCGCAGGCGGGCAUGUAAGUCUUUCUUAAAAGUGCGGGGCUCAACCCCGUGAUGGGAAAGAAACUAUGUGUCUUGAGUACAGGAGAGGAAAGCGGAAUUCCCAGUGUAGCGGUGAAAUGCGUAGAUAUUGGGAGGAACACCAGUGGCGAAGGCGGCUUUCUGGACUGCAACUGACGCUGAGGCUCGAAAGCCAGGAGAGCGAACGGGAUUAGAUACCCGCGUAGUCCCUGUCUCUUAUACA